AUUGAAUUAAAGUUGGUUUAUUUUAAAUUUGAUCAAUAAGAAGGGACUUUUAAAAAAAUGGGAUUAACGAAUGGAGAAAAAGAAGUAACUUGAGAAAAUAGGGUGUAUUAUUAAUUAACCUGAAGGAAAUAAUAAUUUGAGCAUAAGAAUAGAAUAAUUUAUGUAGAAAGAAAAUGUGAUUAGAUACAAUUAUCUCCUAUUAAUGUAUCUCUUAUACUAGAAAUGUAUCGAUGUAAACGCACUUUAACAAAUCAACGGAAAGAGGAUCCGAU
This is a non-coding RNA of Pelobates cultripes (western spadefoot toad), 272 nucleotides long. The record is from the annotation of a GenBank genome assembly. Lineage: Eukaryota; Metazoa; Chordata; Amphibia; Anura; Pelobatidae.